AUGAACGUUGGCGGUGCGCCUAAUACAUGCAAGUCGAGGGUCUUACGCAAGUAAGAACCGGCAGACGGGUCCGUAACACGUUGGAACCUGCCCUGAAGUGAGGGAUAACCACGAGAAAUCGUGGCUAAUACCGCAUAUGGCCGAAAGGUUAAAGCAGCAAUGCGCUUCAGGAGGGGCCUGCGUCCUAUCAGCUAGUUGGCGAGGUAACGGCUCACCAAGGCUAUGACGGGUAGCUGGUCUGAGAGGAUGAUCAGCGACGGGGAGACUGAGACACGGCUCCCACUCCUACGGGAGGCAGCAGUAAGGAAUCUUUCGCAAUGGGGGAAACCCUGACGAAGCGACACCGCGUGGAGGAUGAAGCCCGGAAGGGUGUAAACUUCUUUUCUGAGGGACGAAUUCUGACGGUACCUCAGGAAUAAGCACCGGCUAACUCUGU
This 436-nucleotide ribosomal RNA is filed under the name uncultured bacterium. RNAcentral's name for it is "bacterial SSU rRNA". It matches the Rfam family "Bacterial small subunit ribosomal RNA", at positions 29 to 506 of the family's 1533-position model. The record is from RNAcentral.